ACGAGAACUUGCAGUGUCAUUACACCGUAUGAGCAGAGGGAAGGGAAGUAGAAACAGGUUAUUAUGAGGACGUUAUUGGUGGCCCUCUCCUAUCUAGUUAGCUAGCUCCCUCUCUCUCUCUCUCUCUCUCUCUCUCUGGGUACUGCUGGCACAGCAAAUCUUUCAUAUAGGGAUCUGUAGAACAGAAGCUAAACUACAAGCGAAUAAUUUAAAGGGAAGGAGAUCAACUUUUUUUGGUUGAUUUGUCGGGGACCAGCAACGGAAUACCAAUUUCCUAUGUUUGGUGGGCCCAUCACCUUUCAGGAAAAAAAAAUAAAAAUGGAGCUACUAGAUAUUUUGCAAGAGAUAUAUAUCCAACUUUCCUCUCACUUCCUAUUUAUUAAUUGAAAACUGCUGAGCACCACUGCUCAUGAAUAAGCUUUAGCUUUUUAUUUAAAGAGUGAUGGGAUUUCACCUUCAUUAUUAUUAUUUUUAUUAUUUAUCUUCACACGUUAUGGACCCAUC
Molecule: long non-coding RNA, 504 nt
Filed under: Populus trichocarpa (black cottonwood)
Lineage: Eukaryota; Viridiplantae; Streptophyta; Magnoliopsida; Malpighiales; Salicaceae
Description: long non-coding RNA (PTRI_LNC002592)
Source: RNAcentral